CUGGUCGUUUAAUCGGACACAGAAGAGGCGUAACAAGGUCGAAGCUAACUGUUGUUAAUAUGUGUAAUAGCAAGAUCUCCAAGUUAGAAGAAGAGCAACAGAAUAUGAAGCUCAAAAUGACUGAAAUGAUGAAUCUACUUAAAGAACACUUGGUUGGUGGUAAAGUGACACCAAGCGAAGGACAGUCUCGCAAUGUACCGCAGUCAAACAAUAUUCAGUCCCCUAAGAGUAUUGCACUAGAAAAAAGACAUAACUUUACAGAAGGGAAGAAUGCUUGCUACUUGCUUGACUGAGCAGAUGUAAUUGUUGCUGAAGGUCGUUGGGAUUCUAGUGAUCCAAAGAUAACUGUACAUGGAAAGCCUCUUGGACCAGACUUUAUGCGAGUAUGGGUUGAUGUUGAUAUUGUACCAGAAUCUUACUUAUUUCGUCCUAAUAAUGCGAUGCUUACAAUACAAGAAGCAGUUGGUUCCACAGUUGCAUGGCCUUCUAAAAAAGUUAUUCCAAGAGAUGUGACAAGCGAAAUAGAAAAGGAUACUUAAUUUUGAAGGCUUUGUGUUGGGCA
Molecule: long non-coding RNA, 562 nt
Organism: Humulus lupulus (European hop)
Lineage: Eukaryota; Viridiplantae; Streptophyta; Magnoliopsida; Rosales; Cannabaceae
Exons: 4
Source: RefSeq, a predicted model, not a curated record